This 1574-nucleotide ribosomal RNA is filed under the name Salmonella enterica subsp. enterica. Its description in RNAcentral is "partial 23S ribosomal RNA". It matches the Rfam family "Bacterial large subunit ribosomal RNA", at positions 1385 to 2925 of the family's 2925-position model. Lineage: Bacteria; Pseudomonadati; Pseudomonadota; Gammaproteobacteria; Enterobacterales; Enterobacteriaceae. The record is from RNAcentral.
CGACCCCUAAGGCGAGGCCGAAAGGCGUAGUCGAUGGGAAACGGGUUAAUAUUCCCGUACUUGGUGUUACUGCGAAGGGGGGACGGAGAAGGCUAUGUUGGCCGGGCGACGGUUGUCCCGGUUUAAGCGUGUAGGUGUGUGUUCCAGGUAAAUCCGGUUCACUUUAACACUGAGGCGUGAUGACGAGGCACUACGGUGCUGAAGCAACAAAUGCCCUGCUUCCAGGAAAAGCCUCUAAGCAUCAGGUAACAUCAAAUCGUACCCCAAACCGACACAGGUGGUCAGGUAGAGAAUACCAAGGCGCUUGAGAGAACUCGGGUGAAGGAACUAGGCAAAAUGGUGCCGUAACUUCGGGAGAAGGCACGCUGACACGUAGGUGAAGUGAUUUACUCAUGGAGCUGAAGUCAGUCGAAGAUACCAGCUGGCUGCAACUGUUUAUUAAAAACACAGCACUGUGCAAACACGAAAGUGGACGUAUACGGUGUGACGCCUGCCCGGUGCCGGAAGGUUAAUUGAUGGGGUCAGCGCAAGCGAAGCUCCUGAUCGAAGCCCCGGUAAACGGCGGCCGUAACUAUAACGGUCCUAAGGUAGCGAAAUUCCUUGUCGGGUAAGUUCCGACCUGCACGAAUGGCGUAAUGAUGGCCAGGCUGUCUCCACCCGAGACUCAGUGAAAUUGAACUCGCUGUGAAGAUGCAGUGUACCCGCGGCAAGACGGAAAGACCCCGUGAACCUUUACUAUAGCUUGACACUGAACAUUGAGCCUUGAUGUGUAGGAUAGGUGGGAGGCUUUGAAGUGUGGACGCCAGUCUGCAUGGAGCCGACCUUGAAAUACCACCCUUUAAUGUUUGAUGUUCUAACGUGGACCCGUAAUCCGGGUUGCGGACAGUGUCUGGUGGGUAGUUUGACUGGGGCGGUCUCCUCCUAAAGAGUAACGGAGGAGCACGAAGGUUGGCUAAUCCUGGUCGGACAUCAGGAGGUUAGUGCAAUGGCAUAAGCCAGCUUGACUGCGAGCGUGACGGCGCGAGCAGGUGCGAAAGCAGGUCAUAGUGAUCCGGUGGUUCUGAAUGGAAGGGCCAUCGCUCAACGGAUAAAAGGUACUCCGGGGAUAACAGGCUGAUACCGCCCAAGAGUUCAUAUCGACGGCGGUGUUUGGCACCUCGAUGUCGGCUCAUCACAUCCUGGGGCUGAAGUAGGUCCCAAGGGUAUGGCUGUUCGCCAUUUAAAGUGGUACGCGAGCUGGGUUUAGAACGUCGUGAGACAGUUCGGUCCCUAUCUGCCGUGGGCGCUGGAGAACUGAGGGGGGCUGCUCCUAGUACGAGAGGACCGGAGUGGACGCAUCACUGGUGUUCGGGUUGUCAUGCCAAUGGCACUGCCCGGUAGCUAAAUGCGGAAGAGAUAAGUGCUGAAAGCAUCUAAGCACGAAACUUGCCCCGAGAUGAGUUCUCCCUGAGACUUAGAGUCUCCUGAAGGAACGUUGAAGACGACGACGUUGAUAGGCCGGGUGUGUAAGCGCAGCGAUGCGUUGAGCUAACCGGUACUAAUGAACCGUGAGGCUUAACCUUACAACGCCGAAG